Molecule: long non-coding RNA, 277 nt
Filed under: Brassica rapa (field mustard)
Lineage: Eukaryota; Viridiplantae; Streptophyta; Magnoliopsida; Brassicales; Brassicaceae
Description: long non-coding RNA (BRAP_LNC004594)
Source: RNAcentral
CCCUAUAUCGAAACACCCAAAACGAUUAACUCGAUGUGAAAUCACAUAUAAACGAACCCUAAAUCAAACCACCAUGACGAUAAACAACCCUAAAUCGAAACCCCCUUAUCGAUUUAGACCCCUAACAAAGAAACUCCCAAAUAGAUUUCAGAUCCCAGACUCGAAACCCUAAAUCCCUAAAAACAACUCUAUUGAACCGUGACUCUACUCGGAAACGGACCUGUGCUCGAUGAGAAGACACUCUGCCGUCGAUUUGAUGGAGAAAAGAGCUCUGGAU